This 492-nucleotide ribosomal RNA is filed under the name uncultured bacterium. RNAcentral describes it as "partial 16S ribosomal RNA". It matches the Rfam family "Bacterial small subunit ribosomal RNA", at positions 29 to 507 of the family's 1533-position model. The record is from RNAcentral.
AGUGAACGCUGGCGGUAGGCCUAACACAUGCAAGUCGAACGGCAGCACAGUAAGAGCUUGCUCUUACGGGUGGCGAGUGGCGGACGGGUGAGGAAUACAUCGGAAUCUACUUUUUCGUGGGGGAUAACGUAGGGAAACUUACGCUAAUACCGCAUACGACCUACGGGUGAAAGCAGGGGAUCUUCGGACCUUUCGCGAUUGAAUGAGCCGAUGUCGGAUUAGCUAGUUGGCGGGGUAACGGCCCACCAAGGCGACGAUCCGUAGCUGGUCUGAGAGGAUGAUCAGCCACACUGGAACUGAGACACGGUCCAGACUCCUACGGGAGGCAGCAGUGGGGAAUAUUGGACAAUGGGCGCAAGCCUGAUCCAGCCAUGCCGCGUGGGUGAAGAAGGCCUUCGGGUUGUAAAGCCCUUUUGUUGGGAAAGAAAAGCAGCAGGUUAAUACCCCGCUGUUCUGACGGUACCCAAAGAAUAAGCACCGGCUAACUUCGUG